RNAcentral lists this microRNA precursor (78 nucleotides) under Papio anubis (olive baboon). Its description in RNAcentral is "mir-350 microRNA precursor family". It matches the Rfam family "mir-350 microRNA precursor family". The record is from Rfam by way of RNAcentral. Lineage: Eukaryota; Metazoa; Chordata; Mammalia; Primates; Cercopithecidae.
GCUCCCACAAGAGUGAAGUGCAGGGGCUUUGGGAUGGUGAGGAAAAUAAAGCCCAUACACUUUGACCCUUUAGGAGAG